RNAcentral lists this ribosomal RNA (301 nucleotides) under uncultured bacterium. Its description in RNAcentral is "partial 16S ribosomal RNA". It matches the Rfam family "Bacterial small subunit ribosomal RNA", at positions 509 to 807 of the family's 1533-position model. The record is from RNAcentral.
CAGUCGCCGCGGUAAUACGGAGGGUGCAAGCGUUAUCCGGAUUUAUUGGGUUUAAAGGGUCCGUAGGCGGAUCUGUAAGUCAGUGGUGAAAUCUCACAGCUUAACUGUGAAACUGCCAUUGAUACUGCAGGUCUUGAGUAAAUUUGAAGUGGCUGGAAUAAGUAGUGUAGCGGUGAAAUGCAUAGAUAUUACUUAGAACACCAAUUGCGAAGGCAGGUCACUAAGAUUUAACUGACGCUGAUGGACGAAAGCGUGGGGAGCAAACAGGAUUAGAUACCCGGGUAGUCCCUGUCUCUUAUAC